RNAcentral lists this long non-coding RNA (909 nucleotides) under Heterocephalus glaber (naked mole-rat). RNAcentral's name for it is "lncRNA (ENSHGLG00100036484.1)". The record is from RNAcentral. Lineage: Eukaryota; Metazoa; Chordata; Mammalia; Rodentia; Bathyergidae.
CUCCAAGGAGAAAGAAUUCCUCAUCGCUGUCAUCUGCUCUUUGCCCAGGGGAAGCUAAAAAAAAAAAAAAUAGAAUUGUGCAGAGAACAAAGACCAUGUUCAAGGAGUGACUUAGGAAAAAAACCUUCUGACCUAAAAUCACAGGUCCAUCAAGUUUAACGUGAGGGAACCCUUAAUAAUCUUUUGCCAGCUCCCUAUCACCCACACCACAGGACAGAUGGAGAAACCAAGGCCCACAGAACACAAGAGACUUCCCCAAAUGACUCAGCAUGAUGAGCCCUGAAUGAUAGCUACAUUUCUGGCUUGCUAUUUCCUUCUGAAGACUUCUUUAGUGGAAGAGAUUUGGGGUGGAUUCCUGACCCUGCACUAACCAACUGUGUGACUUUGGUAUGGUGGUGCACGCCUGUAAUCCCAGCACUCGGGAGGCUGAAGCAGGAGGAUCUCUUCAAGUCUGGGGCCAGCCUGGGCUACAUAAUGAGUUCAAGGCCAGCCUGAACUACAUGUGCUUCCUGGUCUCCAUGAGGUGAGCAGCUUUCUUCCACCAGACCCUUCUCCCAUGCUGUUUCUUCCCUGGAGUCAGCCAACCAUGGACUGAAAACAUGAAUCAAUAAAUAACUGAAAAUAAACCUUUCCUCCUUCAAGUUCCAGGUGUUGGGUACUUUGCGUCAGAGACUAGAAAGUGACUAAGACCUCUCCAUCAUUUUCUGGCUGCCAGCUGCCUUCAGUGCUAUGAGACUGGGGCACUGGCUGCUUUCAGCACCAGUGACCUUUGAUGUUACCAGGUCUUAUGACCCAAGACAGCGGUCACAAAUCCUGUCUAGGGUCAGGGAUUUAGUUCAGUGGUGCUGCCAUCUGCCUCACAAGUGCAAGCUCCUGAGUUCAAUCCCCGGUACAAAAAAAGAAAUAUGC